RNAcentral lists this ribosomal RNA (451 nucleotides) under uncultured bacterium. RNAcentral describes it as "partial 16S ribosomal RNA". It matches the Rfam family "Bacterial small subunit ribosomal RNA", at positions 29 to 523 of the family's 1533-position model. The record is from RNAcentral.
AACGAACGCUGGCGGCAUGCCUAACACAUGCAAGUCGAACGCCCGUAGCAAUACGGGAGUGGCAGACGGGUGCAUAACACGUGGGAACCUACCCUAGGGUUCGGAAUAACCGCGGGAAACUGCGGCUAAUACCGGAUACGUCCUCUGGGAGAAAGAUUUAUCGCCCUUGGAGGGGCCCGCGUCGGAUUAGCUAGUUGGUGAGGUAACGGCUCACCAAGGCGACGAUCCGUAGCUGAUCUGAGAGGAUGAUCAGCCACACUGGAACUGAGACACGGUCCAGACUCCUACGGGAGGCAGCAGUGGGGAAUAUUGGACAAUGGGCGCAAGCCUGAUCCAGCAAUGCCGCGUGGGUGAUGAAGGCCUUCAGGUUGUAAAGCCCUUUUGGCAGGGACGAUGAUGACGGUACCUGCAGAAUAAGCCCCGGCUAACUUCGUGCCAGCCGCCGCUGUAA